This 76-nucleotide transfer RNA is filed under the name Pythium insidiosum. RNAcentral describes it as "tRNA-Pro". It matches the Rfam family "tRNA". Rfam says of the family: Transfer RNA (tRNA) molecules are approximately 80 nucleotides in length. Their secondary structure includes four short double-helical elements and three loops (D, anti-codon, and T loops). Further hydrogen bonds mediate the characteristic L-shaped molecular structure. tRNAs have two regions of fundamental functional importance: the anti-codon, which is responsible for specific mRNA codon recognition, and the 3' end, to which the tRNAs corresponding amino acid is attached (by aminoacyl-tRNA synthetases). tRNAs cope with the degeneracy of the genetic code in two manners: having more than one tRNA (with a specific anti-codon) for a particular amino acid; and 'wobble' base-pairing, i.e. permitting non-standard base-pairing at the 3rd anti-codon position. The record is from RNAcentral. Lineage: Eukaryota; Oomycota; Peronosporomycetes; Pythiales; Pythiaceae.
GGCCGCGUGGUCUAGUGGUAUGAUUCUCGCUUCGGGUGCGAGAGGUCCCGGGUUCGAUUCCCGAUUGGCUUGGAUG